GAGUGGCUCCUGGCCCCAAUGGGGUGCCCUGUUUGGUCUUAUAUAGUGAUACCAGAUCAAGUCUCUGUGCCCCAGGAUCUAACAGGAUAGUCUCAUUGAUCCUUACAAGGAGGAUCUGUCUUAUUUGUGAGAGCUGGACCAUAAAGAAGGCAGAGCACUGAAGAACUGAUGCUUUCCAACUGUGGUGCUGAAGAAGACUCUUAGUCCCUUGGACAGCAAGGAUUGACACCAGUCAAUCUUAAAGGAAAUAAACCCUAAACACUCAUUGGAAGGACUGAGGCUGCAGCCACAGCUACAAUCCUUUGGCCACAUGAUGUGAAGAGCAGACUUAUUGGAAAAGACCCUGAGGUUGGGAAAGAUUGAAGGCUGAAGGCAGAGGAUGAAGUGGUUGGAUGGCAUCACUGAUUCAAUGGACAUGAACUUGGGCAAAUUCUGGAAGAUGGUGAGGGAUAGGGAAGCCUGGCAUGCUGUAGUC
This is a long non-coding RNA of Bos taurus (domestic cattle), 475 nucleotides long. Lineage: Eukaryota; Metazoa; Chordata; Mammalia; Artiodactyla; Bovidae. The record is from Ensembl.